RNAcentral lists this ribosomal RNA (52 nucleotides) under Amauroderma praetervisum. RNAcentral's name for it is "partial 28S ribosomal RNA". Lineage: Eukaryota; Fungi; Basidiomycota; Agaricomycetes; Polyporales; Polyporaceae. The record is from RNAcentral.
GACAUCUGACCUCAAAUCAGGUAGGACUACCCGCUGAACUUAAGCAUAUCAU